UACGUAGGGUGCAAGCGUUGUCCGGAAUUAUUGGGCGUAAAGAGCUCGUAGGCGGCUUGUCGCGUCUGCUGUGAAAACUCGGGGCUUAACCCCGGGCCUGCAGUGGGUACGGGCAGACUAGAGUGCGGUAGGGGAGACUGGAAUUCCUGGUGUAGCGGUGAAAUGCGCAGAUAUCAGGAGGAACACCGGUGGCGAAGGCGGGUCUCUGGGCCGUAACUGACGCUGAGGAGCGAAAGCAUGGGGAGCGAACAGG
RNAcentral lists this ribosomal RNA (253 nucleotides) under uncultured bacterium. RNAcentral's name for it is "partial 16S ribosomal RNA". It matches the Rfam family "Bacterial small subunit ribosomal RNA", at positions 524 to 776 of the family's 1533-position model. The record is from RNAcentral.